Molecule: long non-coding RNA, 3393 nt
Organism: Oncorhynchus keta (chum salmon)
Lineage: Eukaryota; Metazoa; Chordata; Actinopteri; Salmoniformes; Salmonidae
Exons: 8
Source: RefSeq, a predicted model, not a curated record
AGCAACAUCAGCACAAGAACUGUUCGUUAGGAGCUUCAUGAAAUGGGUUUCCAUGGCCAAGCAGCCACAAACAAGCCUAAGAUCACCAUACACAAUGCUAAGCGUCGGCUGGAGUGGUGUAUUGCUCGCCCGCCAUUAAACUGUCUGGAAUGAUGAAUCACCUUUCACCAUCUGGCAGUCCAACAGACAAAUCUGGGUUUGACGGAUGCCAGGAGAAUUCUACCUGCCCGAAUACAUAGUACCAACUGUAAAGUUUGGUGGAUGAGGAAUAAUGGUCUGGGGCUGUUUUUCAUGGUUUGGGCUAGGCACCUUAGUUCCAGUGAAGGGAAAUCUUAACACUACAGCAAACAUUGACAUUCUAGAUGACUCUGUGCUUUCAACUUUGUGGCAACAGUUUGGGGAAGGCCCUUUCCUUUUCAGCAUGACAAUGCCCCAUGGCACAAAGUGAGGUCCAUACAGAAAUGGUUGGUCGAGAUUGGUGUGGAAGAACUUGACUGGCCUGCACAGAGCCCUGACCUCAACCCCAUCGAACACCUUUGGGAUUAAUUGGAAAGUUGACUGGGAGCCAGGCCUAAUCACCCAACCCCACUAAUGCUCUUGUGGCUGAAUGGAAGCAAGUCCCCGCAGCAAUGUUCCAACAUCUAGUGAAAAGCCUUCCCAGAAGAGUGGAGGCUGUUGUAGCAGCUAAGGGGGUACCAACUCCAUAUUGAUGCCCAUGAUUUUGGAAUGAGAUGUCCGACGGGCAGGUGCCACAUACUUUUGGUCCUGUAACGUUAGUGUGUGUAUGUAGUAGGCUACGUAGUCAGUGCUGCAGCGUUGAUGUGUGGAAUGACAGCUUCCUAUAUUCAAAUCCACUGGCGCCGAAGCAAAAGCUAAACUCUGAUAAAUUCGGCCUACUAUCAGAAAGUAUACUGUAGCUCCAAUUUUCCAAACAACUUGUCGUGAUUUUCGUAAGUCAAAAAGUAGCCAACGUUAGAUAGCUAGCUAGUCAUAAACCGGAAGAACGGAUAUCAUAUCAGUAACAUUGGCAUGCAAGCUAUCUGGCUGACUAACAGCUGAGUUAGCUACGUAGCUAAAGUUCGUUACUACAGUCGCGUUUUUGUGCAAGAUUUGAUUUGGCAAGACAUAUACAGCUAGCACUGGGUUGAUGGUUAACGGUAACCCUUGUUUGCGUGGUCAGCUGCUGUACAGUAGUCAGCAAAUGGCUGUUUAAAAACUGUGUUUACAUAGCUACCAAGACACUUUUUAAAAAUCAAUUUCGCCCAGUGCACUGUCUGUUAUGCAAAUUAAUGAACCAUACCUGAAGAAGUUGAGAAAACAUCUAAUUUGACAUAUUUCUUACACUCUACUUUGGUACAGUUCUUUACAGCAAACAAUCAUACACUUCAAAUUGACAAAACUGAUGCUGUUAUUUAACUAUAUAGAUAUUUGACACAACAACAACUUUACAGCUAAGACACGACAGUGACUGAUAGAGUGAGUCUGGCAAGCCACGUGCAUUCUGACCGUAGUUUAAAUGAUCUGGUCCACAAAAACCUUCGCAGUGGAAUUUAUAAUAACAUUACCCAGUACUCAUUUGUUACAAUGAGAAAUUAUUUGGUCAGGUUUGUGUUUACACUGAGAAGAUUGAACAUGGUUCAAAGAAUGUAAUCUAAUGUUUUGCGCAAGACUUUGACUUUAUUUACCAAGGAUGGAUUUAGAAACAUUGUGGCAUUGCAAAGUGAUGCACCCCUGCAGAUGGGCCACAAACAUUACCUGUCUCUUUGGAAUAAUGAGGGUCCUGAAAGCAGAGUAUAGGUUCUAGAUGGUAAAAUGAGAAUUUCAGGUGCUAACUAGUGUGGUAAUUACAAUGGUGAUUACCUGAACCAGACUUACUUUGAGGUCGCAGAACAAAGUGUCACCAUGCCCCUUGUCAUGUAGAAUGAGCUGUGACCCGAGUGGUACCAGAGACUGAAUGUUGGAACUGUGCUCUACCUCCAAAACUACACCCUCAAGCAGAGUAAUCCAAACAGGUCUCGACCUGACAUAGACAACCACAGAAUGAAGAGCUUUCACUCAGUAGAAAUCUGUCUGAAUCUUUGGACUCCCACUGCACUCCUUACUGUGGUUCCAGCCAAGUGUGCAGUCUCAAUGGGGCUUGCCUAAGGUUUCCUACCAGUUCACCUCCAGAUAAGAAUUGAAGAACAAUUCUGCAUGUGAUGUCAUUGGCUUGGUAACUUUUGUGGGUCGGGUGGAGAGAGUCAAGAGUAAGGGGUCCGCAGGCCCAGAAAAAUACUGGACUUACCGCUGGGUCCAUGCAGUGGAACAUCCAAUAGUCCUUUUAUUUUGGAGCUUUCUGCUUCUUCACAACCAGAAAUAUACCAUGGGAUAUACCCAAGCAAAUAUUUUAGUACUAGCUAUAACAGUUAGUAGCUAUAAUACAAACAAUUCCAUAGAUGAGAAAGUGUUAAGAGCAAGACUCACUGCCUUACCUCACCAGCAGCUGCAAGACACAUAUAUUUAAUACCGUUUUCCCUCAGGGUAUCACAAGGGCCAGCCAUACCUGUCAGACCCCAGGGUGAAGCUUCGACCAGUGGACCAAGACUGAAGGACAGCAUUAUGCUGAAGAAGACUGUUGUUGGUGGCCAUUAUUGCUUCCCUCACACCCCUCAGAUAUUCACACAGUCAGUGGCAGAUGGCUCAGCUCAAGUUCUUCUGGUUGCUGCAAAUGACCUAAAGGGAGAUGGAGGGUCUGCAUUAUCGUUAGCACAAGCAGCUGGCAAUCCAAGGUCAGAUCAUUGCUGUGCAGUAUGUGACAUGGCCAGAGGAGGCACUGUCAGACCAGGUAGGCUUUAUUGAUUGCUUUACUGUGGGUUAUACAAUGAACUUAAGGAGGAUCUUUUGGUCAGCUGUCCGGACAAAAUCUAAAUUUUAACAGUCUUGAUGAAAAUAACCAAUUAUGUGACAUUUUAUCAGGUAACAAUAAUGUAAAUGCCUGUGCCAAAGCCUGCCACCUUAUCCUCCAACGGACACUUUAUUUUUAUAAGAGCCUAAUUGUCCUUUUAGCUGCUGUACUUUAUGCAUAAAUGUGUAUAGAUUAUGUAUGGCAUUAUAUAUUACGCCUGUACCAUGUUUGCCUAUGAUUGUAUUUAGUGUUUCAACUCAGUUUGAGUGGUCCAUAAUGUGGUUUUAAAAAACAACAACUGUAUUAUAGUAUAAUUAUGUAGUGACGUCAAUACAUUUCUCUAACUCUAGAUACACUGAGUACACAAAAAACUAAGAACACAUGCUCUGUCCAUGACAGACUGACCAGGUGAAUGCAAUGAUCCCUUAUUGAUGUCACUUGUUAAAUCCACUUCAAUCAAUGUAUAUGAAGCGGAGGUAAAAAUAAAAAUAUAUAUUUUUAAGCUUUGA